Molecule: long non-coding RNA, 894 nt
Organism: Oncorhynchus gorbuscha (pink salmon)
Lineage: Eukaryota; Metazoa; Chordata; Actinopteri; Salmoniformes; Salmonidae
Exons: 3
Source: RefSeq, a predicted model, not a curated record
UGUCAUGUUGUAUUGUAGUAACCCUCAACUGUAUUUAAUGGUGUUAUGUAGUUGUGUUGUCAUGUUGUGAAUGCUGUAUUUUAGUAUGCCUAACCCUCAACAUAUUCUGGUGAUAGAGAGAGACACAGACAAUACACAGAGACAGCAACAGAAGUAUAGGAUAUGAUGGAGAGAGACACCAGACAAGACACAGAGACAGCAACAGAAGAAUAGGAUAUGAUGGAGAGAGACACCAGACAAGACACAGAGACAGCAACAGAAGAGUAGGAUAUGACGGAGAGAGACACCAGACAAGACACAGAGACAGUAACAGAAGAAUACGAUAUGACGGAGAGAGACACCAAACAAGACACAGAGACAGCAACAGAAGAAUACGAUAUGAUGGAGAGAGACACCAGACAAGACACAGAGACAGCAACAGAAUAGAAUAUGAUGGAGACACCAGACAAGACACAGAGACAGCAACAGAGGACACAGAGAAAGUGAUGGAGAGAGACAGAAGAAUAGAGUUCCAGACAGUUGUAGAAUGUAUGCCAAGACGCAUUGUAAGAGCUGUUAAGAGAGAGGGAGGGAGAGAGAACAGGCAGAACCUGAUAUGUAAAUGAGCAGAGCAAACGAAAGUAACUUUUGACGACCCGAUGAUCAUCCAGACUGUGUUUCUAUUGAGAGAUAAAAGGCUGGUUGAAUGAGUUGCCUAUGAAAGCUACUUCAUCUGUAAGAAAACAGGCGUCUGCACCAGUGACUGGGUCAGUGCUCUAAAAUGAGUGUCUCUGGGGAGAGAGAGGAGGGGGGCCCUGCCUCUAAAAUGAGUUUCUCUGGGGAGAGAAAGGAGGGGGGCCCUGCCUCUAAAAUGAGUCUCUCUGGGGAGAGAGAGGAGGGCGGCCCUGCCUCUAA